CCUACGGGAGGCAGCAGUGGGGAAUAUUGGACAAUGGGCGAAAGCCUGAUCCAGCAAUGCCGCGUGAGUGAUGAAGGCCUUAGGGUUGUAAAGCUCUUUUACCAGGGAUGAUAAUGACAGUACCUGGAGAAUAAGCUCCGGCUAACUCCGUGCCAGCAGCCGCGGUAAUACGGAGGGAGCUAGCGUUGUUCGGAAUUACUGGGCGUAAAGCGUACGUAGGCGGUUAUUCAAGUCAGAGGUGAAAGCCUGGAGCUCAACUCCAGAACUGCCUUUGAAACUAGAUAGCUAGAAUCUUGGAGAGGUGAGUGGAAUUCCGAGUGUAGAGGUGAAAUUCGUAGAUAUUCGGAAGAACACCAGUGGCGAAGGCGACUCACUGGACAAGUAUUGACGCUGAGGUACGAAAGCGUGGGGAGCAAACAGGAUUAGAUACCCUGGUAGUCCACGCCGUAAACGAUGAUAACUAGCUGUUCGGGCUCUACGAGCUUGAGUGGCGCAGCUAACGCAUUAAGUUAUCCGCCUGGGGAGUACGGUCGCAAGAUUAAAACGUCAAAGGAUUGACGG
RNAcentral lists this ribosomal RNA (561 nucleotides) under uncultured bacterium. Its description in RNAcentral is "bacterial SSU rRNA". It matches the Rfam family "Bacterial small subunit ribosomal RNA", at positions 338 to 916 of the family's 1533-position model. The record is from RNAcentral.